CAUUUCUCACGUCUCACCACAAACUACUUUACUUCCAUUUCCAACCAUAUAACUAAUUGUUGAACAUUAUAUGUAUAAGUGAAGAUCUCCCAUCGCUGCUUUUAAUUGCAGUCAUGGCCACCCAUGCAGCUCUUGUUUCCUCCAGGAUCCCAAACAACACCAGGCUUAUUCCUUCCAAGACUUUCCAUGCUUUCCCUGCUCAAUGCUCCUCUAAGAGGCUUGAUGUGGCUGAGUUCUCAGGACUUCCAUCAAAUACUUGCUUGAACUUUGCCCACAAUGCCAGAGAAGCGUCUUUCUUUGAUACAGUUGCUGCCCAACUUGCUCCCAAGGGAUUGGAAACACUGUAGAAAGUUCAGUUUCUAGAAAAACAAAGACGACGAAAUAUUCUCAGACUAGGAAGGCCCUCUCCCUAGUCCCUACUGGCAAGUAAGAGGUCUUUGCGUUUGAAGUGAUUUGGAGUUUGGAAUCGGAUGCUCAUAUUCUGACAACUAGCUAGGGCGAGUGGUAAGGUAGGUGUAUAGCUAUGCCAUAUUGCCAUGGCUUCUCUCAGCUUCGUGAAGGGUACAGCUGAGAAUCUGAGGACAAAAAAUUACAUUCUAACCACCACUCAUAAUGAGAAACGAAGAUGGCAUGGAGUUUCAGAAGACUCUUGAAAUCACAAGGCAGAGUGGAGUAGUAGCAGCACCAUUGGCGGAAGCAAGGGCAACGACUAUGGAAGUAAUAGUAGCAAUGAUGGAGUUGCAGCUUGCAGCUUGCAGCAGCAGCAACAGCAACAGCAACAGCAACUAUUGAGUGAAGAGAAAGGUGUAAGGUGUCCGGACAACUUGGUUAACAAAAGGCGGAGUGAGGGGUAGGUGCAACGUUGUGCUACAUUGAUGGUGACCAAAUCCGAGAAGGAGAGAGACAGUCAACCAAACUUGGCUCGGGAAAAGCUCUCAAAUUGGUGUGAUUAAGACUUGUCUUGCUAUUUUUAUUCAUAAGCAAGUGUACAUAAAUUUUUACCAUAUUUUUUACUUGACUUGACCAAGUCAAAACCUAAUUUUUCAACUAUAAUAAAACCACCAUGGGCAUUCAGAGUA
Macadamia integrifolia is the source of this 1079-nucleotide RNA transcript. It is a transcript of the gene named glyceraldehyde-3-phosphate dehydrogenase B, chloroplastic-like, with no coding region annotated. The record is from RefSeq and is a predicted model, not a curated record. Lineage: Eukaryota; Viridiplantae; Streptophyta; Magnoliopsida; Proteales; Proteaceae. The transcript is spliced from 5 exons.